This 229-nucleotide ribosomal RNA is filed under the name uncultured bacterium. RNAcentral describes it as "partial 16S ribosomal RNA". It matches the Rfam family "Bacterial small subunit ribosomal RNA", at positions 568 to 796 of the family's 1533-position model. The record is from RNAcentral.
UGCGUAGGCGGAACUUUAAGUCAGUGGUGAAAUCCUGCGGCUCAACCGUAGAACUGCCAUUGAUACUGAAGUUCUUGAAUGCAGUUGAGAUAGGCGGAAUGUGUAAUGUAGCGGUGAAAUGCUUAGAUAUUACACAGAACACCGAUUGCGAAGGCAGCUUGCUAAACUGUGAUUGACGCUGAUGCACGAAAGCGUGGGGAGCGAACAGGAUUAGAUACCCUGGUAGUCC